AUUGAACGCUGGCGGCAUGCCUUACACAUGCAAGUCGAACGGCAGCACGGGAGCUUGCUCCUGGUGGCGAGUGGCGAACGGGUGAGUAAUACAUCGGAACGUACCCUGAAGUGGGGGAUAACGUAGCGAAAGUUACGCUAAUACCGCAUAUUCUGUGAGCAGGAAAGAGGGGGAUCGCAAGACCUCUUGCUUUAGGAGCGGCCGAUGUCGGAUUAGCUAGUUGGUGAGGUAAAGGCUCACCCAAGGCGACGAUCCGUAGCGGGUCUGAGAGGAUGAUCCGCCACACUGGGACUGAGACACGGCCCAGACUCCUACGGGAGGCAGCAGUGGGGAAUUUUGGACAAUGGGCGCAAGCCUGAUCCAGCCAUGCCGCGUGAGUGAAGAAGGCC
Molecule: ribosomal RNA, 389 nt
Filed under: uncultured bacterium
Lineage: Bacteria
Description: bacterial SSU rRNA
Rfam family: Bacterial small subunit ribosomal RNA
Source: RNAcentral